ACACUCCUGCGGGAGGCAGCAGUGGGGAAUAUUGGACAAUGGGCGCAAGCCUGAUCCAGCCAUGCCGCGUGAGUGAUGAAGGCCCUAGGGUUGUACAGCUCUUUCACCGGUGAAGAUAAUGACGGUAACCGGAGAAGAAGCCCCGGCUAACUUCGUGCCAGCAGCCGCGGUAAUACGAAGGGGGCUAGCGUUGUUCGGAUUUACUGGGCGUAAAGCGCACGUAGGCGGACUAUUAAGUCAGGGGUGAAAUCCCGGGGCUCAACCCCGGAACUGCCUUUGAUACUGGUAGUCUUGAGUUCGAGAGAGGUGAGUGGAAUUCCGAGUGUAGAGGUGAAAUUCGUAGAUAUUCGGAGGAACACCAGUGGCGAAGGCGGCUCACUGGCUCGAUACUGACGCUGAGGUGCGAAAGCGUGGGGAGCAAACAGGAUUAGAAACCCCGGUAGUCCCAUGAU
RNAcentral lists this ribosomal RNA (452 nucleotides) under uncultured organism. RNAcentral's name for it is "partial 16S ribosomal RNA". It matches the Rfam family "Bacterial small subunit ribosomal RNA", at positions 333 to 801 of the family's 1533-position model. The record is from RNAcentral.